UGGGACUUCUUGAAGUGUAGACACUAAAAAAUACAGACUCUGUGUCGAUAAACAAAAACUUCUCAGGAUAAACAUAAACUUGUGGUUCAAAAAAUUUCUAUUUAUUAUACGCAGUUUGUAUUUAUUAUUUGGGAUUUGUAUUUAUUAUGAAAAAUUUAUGUUUAUUCUGGACCUGUUUGUGUUUAUUAUUUAGAGUUUGU
This 200-nucleotide long non-coding RNA is filed under the name Elaeis guineensis (African oil palm). RNAcentral's name for it is "long non-coding RNA (EGUI_LNC016111)". The record is from RNAcentral. Lineage: Eukaryota; Viridiplantae; Streptophyta; Magnoliopsida; Arecales; Arecaceae.